GAUGAACGCUGGCGGCGUGCCUAAUACAUGCAAGUCGAGCGAACGGACGAGAAGCUUGCUUCUCUGAUGUUAGCGGCGGACGGGUGAGUAACACGUGGAUAACCUACCUAUAAGACUGGGAUAACUUCGGGAAACCGGAGCUAAUACCGGAUGAUAUUUUGAACCGCAUGGUUCAAAAGUGAAAGACGGUCUUGCUGUCACUUAUAGAUGGAUCCGCGCUGCAUUAGCUAGUUGGUAAGGUAACGGCUUACCAAGGCAACGAUGCGUAGCCGACCUGAGAGGGUGAUCGGCCACACUGGAACUGAGACACGGUCCAGACUCCUACGGGAGGCAGCAGUAGGGAAUCUUCCGCAAUGGGCGAAAGCCUGACGGAGCAACGCCGCGUGAGUGAUGAAGGUCUUCGGAUCGUAAAACUCUGUUAUUAGGGAAGAACAUAUGUGUAAGUAACUGUGCACGUCUUGACGGUACCUAAUCAGAAAGCCACGGCUAACUACGUG
This 497-nucleotide ribosomal RNA is filed under the name uncultured bacterium. Its description in RNAcentral is "partial 16S ribosomal RNA". It matches the Rfam family "Bacterial small subunit ribosomal RNA", at positions 28 to 507 of the family's 1533-position model. The record is from RNAcentral.